CAGUCGCCGCGGUAAUACAGAGGGUGCGAGCGUUAAUCGGAUUUACUGGGCGUAAAGCGUGCGUAGGCGGCUUUUUAAGUCGGAUGUGAAAUCCCUGAGCUUAACUUAGGAAUUGCAUUCGAUACUGGGAAGCUAGAGUAUGGGAGAGGAUGGUAGAAUUCCAGGUGUAGCGGUGAAAUGCGUAGAGAUCUGGAGGAAUACCGAUGGCGAAGGCAGCCAUCUGGCCUAAUACUGACGCUGAGGUACGAAAGCAUUGGGAGCAAACAGGAUUAGAUACCCCCGUAGUCCCUGUCUCUUAUAC
Molecule: ribosomal RNA, 301 nt
Filed under: uncultured bacterium
Lineage: Bacteria
Description: partial 16S ribosomal RNA
Rfam family: Bacterial small subunit ribosomal RNA
Source: RNAcentral